CUUGGUUACAACACUUCAUCCUGGUAAUUUCGUUGUUGUUUUUCUUUGCCUGGAUUGUUGUUGAUCUCUCAAGUUUUGUUGUCCUUAUUAGCCUGUUAUGAUCCAUCUUCAUUGGAGCAUUUGGCCAUUUACUAACCAUAGUCCUAAAUUCUUGAUCCACACAAGCUCUUGAACUACCAACAUUAGUUUUCAUCUUGGUCACCAUAGUCCUAAAUUCUUGAUCCACACACCGUCAGUAAAUGGCCAAAUAUUGAUCUACACUUCAGUUAUCAUGUCACUGUCAGUCUUCAUCUUGGUCACCAACUCACCAUAGUAUGCUCUCUUUUCUCUCUUGUUAUUUACCUCUUUGAUUUAGCUAAAGUGUAGCUAUUAACGACCAACAUUAGUUUGCAGUACAGUCUCCAUCCGUAACAGCCAUUGAUCCACACAAGCAUCCAGUUAAAUAGCCGAACUGCAGCUCUAAAUAUUCAAUUUUCUGCUCUGAACAGUAGCUCUAAUUCGAUGCAGCUCGACGGGAGCAAAAUCCGCACCAGCGAGCCAGACGGCCGACGGAGUGGUGCGGGCUGGGUCGGUGGCAGACAUCAUGGAGGCACCGGAGGUCGCAGCCGUGAGGCGGAGCUGCGUUUCCGGCGGCAGCGAGCAUCGGAUCGAGCCGGACGACCGGCGAAGAGGUACAGGCGGGGGUCGGUGGCGGUCUUCAGGGAGUCGCCGGAGGUCGCGGCCAUCUGGGCGAAGGGGGUAUAGCGGAGGAGCUCCUUUCAGAGGGGAUAUCAGCGAGAAGAAAGAGACGAGAGAGGAGGAGGGAGGAAGAAGGAUGGAGGGAAUAAAAAGGAGCAGACAGGGCGGCGGCGGCGGCGACAGCUUGCCGGAGGAGAAGGCAGCGACGCUGAACGGCGAAGACGGACGGCACGUUUGGUGCUCGUGAGUUCCUCCCCUUGAGGCGAGGCGCGCUCGAGCACUGCAGGGGACGGCGUAUCGGUACAGUGCAUCGCUCAGGAGCGAUUUGGAUCGAACGACAACGAGAGCGUGUGGCAGUUUUGCAAAAAACAUUCCGGUUGCCAGAUACACAUAUUUUGGAAAACAAAUGUCAUUCAAUUCCUGCGAUGGGCUCUAAGUUCUUUAAAAAAAAUACAGCUAGAAGUUUGCUUCUUGGUUUUUCUGUUUUCUGCGACUGGCUGAAGGGGACAUAAAGUGGUACUGGAGAUAUUCGCAAAAUAAAAGUAGUACUGGAGAUAUGAUGGUUCUUUUUUCGGAUUUUCACAUGCACCAGCAAUGUAGCGGAGAGACUCAAAAUCUUGCAAGCAGUCCCGGUCUCUGACCGGAGGUUUGGCAGUAUAGAAGCCAUCAUCUCCAUUACUACUUUUAUGUCACCAUGGACUCGAGUAUCGGCGAGUGCAGCACGGGUCUCCCACCGCUACAACUUUAGCUUCUCCUCCUAAUUCUGGACGCACGAAGCGUGCAAGAGCUCUGGAAAGAUGGUGUCCUCGAGGCCGAGCACUUGCCGUCUACCAACUCAGCUGCUCUCGAUCCAACUCAUUCUGCUGGUUUUCUUCAUCGUCCUCCCCGCCGCAGCAGCCUACAACAAUGUAUCUGCGCCUUCGCCUGUGAGAGUAGACUACUUUACCGCGGGAAUACACCUCCCCCCUGCUAAAUCGGGAAACUUAAACCCGUUCAGAGCACCACAACUCGCUAGGCCAGAACCUCAAGCUAAGCGACCGGAGCGGAUUCCUCGGCGCAAAGAGCGCAAACGCAUACACAUCGGAGAGGUGUACGUGCAGCGAGACUACGGGGGAUGAAGAUGAACACAUGUACGUAGUAGCUUUGAUAGGGAAUCAAACAACCUUGCGCGGUUGGGCCGAUGGGCGCGCUACUUGUAUUUGUGAUCUACAUUCAGCUUGUUAAACAAGUUUGUAAGCAACUUGUCAUUUCUGUCUCCAUGUCCUUCCAGGGACUCGCUAAUGUUUACGCACUCGACAA
This is a long non-coding RNA of Aegilops tauschii subsp. strangulata, 1977 nucleotides long. RefSeq lists it as uncharacterized. NCBI's taxonomy places the organism in Eukaryota, Viridiplantae, Streptophyta, Magnoliopsida, Poales, Poaceae. The record is from RefSeq and is a predicted model, not a curated record.